RNAcentral lists this ribosomal RNA (397 nucleotides) under uncultured bacterium. RNAcentral describes it as "bacterial SSU rRNA". It matches the Rfam family "Bacterial small subunit ribosomal RNA", at positions 29 to 416 of the family's 1533-position model. The record is from RNAcentral.
AACGAACGCUGGCGGCGCGCCUAAUACAUGCAAGUCGAGCGAGAAGACGUAGCAAUACGUUUGUAAAGCGGCGAACGGGUGAGGAAUGCAUGGGUAACCUACCCUCGAGUGGGGAAUAACUAGCCGAAAGGUUAGCUAAUACCGCGUACGCUCCUUGGACUUCGGUUCAGGGAGGAAAGCGAUACCGUGGGUACCGCGCUCUUGGAUGGGCUCAUGUCCUAUCAGCUUGUUGGUGAGGAACGGCUCACCAAGGCUUCGACGGGUAGCUGGUCUGAGAGGACGAUCAGCCACACUGGCACUGCGACACGGGCCAGACUCCUACGGGAGGCAGCAGUAAGGAAUAUUGCGCAAUGGGCGAAAGCCUGACGCAGCGACGCCGCGUGGGGGAGUGAAGGUC